RNAcentral lists this long non-coding RNA (210 nucleotides) under Gallus gallus (chicken). Lineage: Eukaryota; Metazoa; Chordata; Aves; Galliformes; Phasianidae. The record is from RNAcentral.
UUCUUCCACUUGGAGAAAGAUUUGAGAAAAAGGGGAAGACAAAGGAUACUAUACUAUAGGAGCCAGACUAAUUCUGCUAGAGGAUGAGGUGACACAUACAGAUGGAGGUCACAAAACAGAACUAAGCUGUAGCCAGAAAUGUUCCUAUUUUGAAACAUUGAAAAAACUGUGUAUACUUAUUAGAAUUUCUUUUUAACAAGGUCAUUUAUG